RNAcentral lists this ribosomal RNA (948 nucleotides) under Lactiplantibacillus plantarum. RNAcentral describes it as "bacterial SSU rRNA". It matches the Rfam family "Bacterial small subunit ribosomal RNA", at positions 209 to 1149 of the family's 1533-position model. Lineage: Bacteria; Bacillati; Bacillota; Bacilli; Lactobacillales; Lactobacillaceae. The record is from RNAcentral.
CGGCUAUCACUUUUGGAUGGUCCCGCGGCGUAUUAGCUAGAUGGUGAGGUAACGGCUCACCAUGGCAAUGAUACGUACCCGACCUGAGAGGGUAAUCGGCCACAUUGGGACUGAGACACGGCCCAAACUCCUACGGGAGGCAGCAGUAGGGAAUCUUCCACAAUGGACGAAAGUCUGAUGGAGCAACGCCGCGUGAGUGAAGAAGGGUUUCGGCUCGUAAAACUCUGUUGUUAAAGAAGAACAUAUCUGAGAGUAACUGUUCAGGUAUAGACGGUAUUUAACCAGAAAGCCACGGCUAACUACGUGCCAGCAGCCGCGGUAAUACGUAGGUGGCAAGCGUUGUCCGGAUUUAUUGGGCGUAAAGCGAGCGCAGGCGGUUUUUUAAGUCUGAUGUGAAAGCCUUCGACUCAACCGAAGAAGUGCAUCGGAAACUGGGAAACUUGAGUGCAGAAGAGGACAGUGGAACUCCAUGUGUAGCGGUGAAAUGCGUAAAUAUAUGGAAGAACACCAGUGGCGAAGGCGGCUGUCUGGUCUGUAACUGACGCUGAGGCUCGAAAGUAUGGGUAGCAAACAGGAUUAGAUACCCUGGUAGUCCAUACCGUAAACGAUGAAUGCUAAGUGUUGGAGGGUUUCCGCCCUUCAGUGCUGCAGCUAACGCAUUAAGCAUUCCGCCUGGAGAGUACGGCCGCAAGGCUGAAACUCAAAGGAAUUGACGGGGGCCCGCACAAGCGGUGGAGCAUGUGGUUUAAUUCGAAGCUACGCGAAGAACCUUACCAGGUCUUGACAUACUAUGCAAAUCUAAGAGAUUAGACGUUCCCUUCGGGGACAUGGAUACAGGUGGUGCAUGGUUGUCCUCAGCUCGUGUCGUGAGAUGUUGGGUUAAGUCCCGCAACGAGCGCCACCCUUAUUAUCAGUUGCCAGCAUUAAGUUGGGCACUCUGGGUAAAAC